Molecule: ribosomal RNA, 348 nt
Filed under: uncultured Helicobacter sp.
Lineage: Bacteria; Pseudomonadati; Campylobacterota; Epsilonproteobacteria; Campylobacterales; Helicobacteraceae
Description: bacterial SSU rRNA
Rfam family: Bacterial small subunit ribosomal RNA
Source: RNAcentral
AAGUGGAUUAGUGGCGCACGGGUGAGUAACGCAUAGGUAACAUGCCCUUUAGUCUGGGAUAGCCACUGGAAACGGUGAUUAAUACUGGAUACUCCCUACGGGGGAAAGUUUUUCGCUAAAGGAUUGGCCUAUGUCCUAUCAGCUUGUUGGUGAGGUAAUGGCUCACCAAGGCUAUGACGGGUAUCCGGCCUGAGAGGGUGAUCGGACACACUGGAACUGAGACACGGUCCAGACUCCUACGGGAGGCAGCAGUAGGGAAUAUUGCUCAAUGGGGGAAACCCUGAAGCAGCAACGCCGCGUGGAAGAUGAAGGUUUUAGGAUUGUAAACUCCUUUUGUAAGAGAAGAUU